GUGCUUGCUUCGGCAGCACAUAUACUAAAAUUGGAAGGACAUAGAGAAAAUUAGCAUGGCCCCUGCGCAAGGAUGACAUGCAAAUUCGUGAAGCAUCCCAUAUUUAA
Otolemur garnettii (small-eared galago) is the source of this 107-nucleotide small nuclear RNA. The record is from Ensembl. NCBI's taxonomy places the organism in Eukaryota, Metazoa, Chordata, Mammalia, Primates, Galagidae.